Molecule: non-coding RNA, 1078 nt
Organism: Prunus mume (Japanese apricot)
Lineage: Eukaryota; Viridiplantae; Streptophyta; Magnoliopsida; Rosales; Rosaceae
Source: RefSeq, a predicted model, not a curated record
AGAGAGAGAGAGAGAGCUCAAUUUAAGUUGUUGAUUCUUAGAAGCUUCAAUCUUUGGCUUCUUGGGUUCUUUUACCCGUAGCUCCAGUAACCGGUCGCUGUCUAGUGGCUCCUGUGAGAGCUCAGAGGUCUUCCUCCGUAUGCGUUCGGUCUUCUUUGGAUAGGACACUAUUGUUUCUGGCAUGGGUGUAAAUGGAAACCGGUGAGGGGAACACUCUGAAGUUAGUAUUCUGAGAUGAAUGUUUACUCUGCCCAGCUCCAAAAGGGUUGUUUCCAGCUGAACCUGAACACUACCGAGGUCCCAAGCUCGAAGUGGCUAUAAUUGGAGCUGGGCUCGCAGGCAUGUCAACAGCAUUUGAGCUUUUGGAUCAAGGCCACGAGGUGGAUAUAUAAGAGUCAAGGCCUUUCAUUGGUGGAAAAGUGGGAUCCUAUGUUGAACGUUGAAACCACAUUGAAAUGGGACUCCAUGUUUUCUUUGGUUGCUACAGUAAUCUUUUCCGAUUAAUGAAAAAGGCGAACAAAUAUUGCUUGGUUGAACUGCUAUGACAUAUGGUGGGCGCAGACGAAAAUCUACUUGUCAAGGAUCGUACUUAAAUCAGGAAAACCAGUAAAGAAAAAAAUUCAUAUGUUUUCUUCCUUUAUCAUUUAGAGAGCUUCUUGAAGUGAACCAAAUUGUAAUGGAGCUUAUUGCUCAAUUAAAUUUCUGUUACUGGUUUCCUGUAUAAUACUGUUCAAAUGCAGACUUAUGAUAAAGCAAGAAAUGCAGUGGCUCUUGCAUUAAGUCCAGUUGUGAAGGCUCUGGUUGAUCCAGAUGGAGCAUUGUGAAGGCUCUAAUAAAUCGUAAUCUGCUGUACCAUUCUCCGAGAUUAUGGUGUUAAUGAGAUGCCGAAUAUGCAAAUGUAAGCAAUCAAUAUAAAUAAAAACUCCAAAGGUAAGAACGAUUUACAUUUUGUAUAUAUAUUCAAGCAUUACCACCUCAUCUAUCAUUUCUAUAAUCUCAGCAUGUCAAAGAAACAGUUUCUGCAUAAGUUCCAAACUCCACUUCUCCAAUGCCUCAGGUAGAACAGAAUGGUUUGUAU